RNAcentral lists this ribosomal RNA (217 nucleotides) under Staphylococcus delphini. Its description in RNAcentral is "partial 16S ribosomal RNA". It matches the Rfam family "Bacterial small subunit ribosomal RNA", at positions 1 to 211 of the family's 1533-position model. The record is from RNAcentral. Lineage: Bacteria; Bacillati; Bacillota; Bacilli; Caryophanales; Staphylococcaceae. RNAcentral also lists the same sequence under 1 other name.
UUUAUGGAGAGUUUGAUCCUGGCUCAGGAUGAACGCUGGCGGCGUGCCUAAUACAUGCAAGUCGAGCGAACAGAUAAGGAGCUUGCUCCUUUGACGUUAGCGGCGGACGGGUGAGUAACACGUGGGUAACCUACCUAUAAGACUGGAAUAACUCCGGGAAACCGGGGCUAAUGCCGGAUAACAUGUUGAACCGCAUGGUUCUACAGUGAAAGACGGU